RNAcentral lists this ribosomal RNA (465 nucleotides) under uncultured bacterium. RNAcentral describes it as "partial 16S ribosomal RNA". It matches the Rfam family "Bacterial small subunit ribosomal RNA", at positions 339 to 795 of the family's 1533-position model. The record is from RNAcentral.
CUACGGGUUGCAGCAGUGAGGAAUUUUGCGCAAUGGGGGAAACCCUGACGCAGCAACGCCGCGUGAGUGAUGAAGGCUUUCGGGUCGUAAAGCUCUGUCAAGUGGGAAGAAUUAGCCUGAUGCUAAUAUCAUCGGGAAUUGACGGUACCACUGAAGGAAGCACCGGCUAACUCCGUGCCAGCAGCCGCGGUAAUACGGGGGGUGCAAGCGUUAUUCGGAAUCAUUGGGCGUAAAGAGCGCGUAGGCGGCCUUUUAAGUCAGAUGUGAAAGCCCGGGGCUUAACCCCGGAAGUGCAUUUGAAACUAUUGGGCUUGAGUAUGGGAGAGGGAAGUGGAAUUCCUGGUGUAGAGGUGAAAUUCGUAGAUAUCAGGAGGAACACCGGUGGCGAAGGCGACUUCCUGGACCAAUACUGACGCUGAGGCGCGAAGGCGUGGGGAGCAAACAGGAUUAGAUACCCUAGUAGUC